Molecule: non-coding RNA, 114 nt
Organism: Myotis lucifugus (little brown bat)
Lineage: Eukaryota; Metazoa; Chordata; Mammalia; Chiroptera; Vespertilionidae
Source: Rfam
GUGGGCUACGGGGAUAUGCACCCGGUGACCAUCGGGGGCAAGAUUGUGGGGUCGCUCUGCGCCAUCGCGGGCGUCCUGACCAUCGCCCUGCCGGUCCCCGUGAUUGUCUCCAAC